UACGAAGGGGGCUAGCGUUGCUCGGAAUUACUGGGCGUAAAGCGCACGUAGGCGGCUUUGUAAGUUAGAGGUGAAAGCCCGGGGCUCAACCCCGGAAUUGCCUUUAAGACUGCAUCGCUUGAAUCCGGGAGAGGUGAGUGGAAUUCCUAGUGUAGAGGUGAAAUUCGUAGAUAUUAGGAAGAACACCAGUGGCGAAGGCGGCUCACUGGCCCGGGUACUGACGCUGAGGCGCGAAAGCGUGGGGAGCAAACAGG
Molecule: ribosomal RNA, 254 nt
Filed under: uncultured bacterium
Lineage: Bacteria
Description: partial 16S ribosomal RNA
Rfam family: Bacterial small subunit ribosomal RNA
Source: RNAcentral